CCUACGGGAGGCAGCCGUGAGGAAUAUUGGUCAAUGGACGAGAGUCUGAACCAGCCAAGUAGCGUGAAGGAUGACUGCCCUAUGGGUUGUAAACUUCUUUUAUAUGGGAAUAAAACGUUCCACGUGUGGGAUUUUGUAUGUACCAUAUGAAUAAGGAUCGGCUAACUCCGUGCCAGCAGCCGCGGUAAUACGGAGGAUCCGAGCGUUAUCCGGAUUUAUUGGGUUUAAAGGGAGCGUAGGUGGAUUGUUAAGUCAGUUGUGAAAGUUUGCGGCUCAACCGUAAAAUUGCAGUUGAAACUGGCAGUCUUGAGUAAAGUAGAGGUGGGCGGAAUUCGUGGUGUAGCGGUGAAAUGCUUAGAUAUCACGAAGAACUCCGAUUGCGAAGGCAGUUCACUGGACUGCAACUGACACUGAGGCUCGAAAGUGUGGGUAUCAAACAGGAUUAGAUACCCUUGUAGUC
RNAcentral lists this ribosomal RNA (460 nucleotides) under uncultured bacterium. RNAcentral describes it as "partial 16S ribosomal RNA". It matches the Rfam family "Bacterial small subunit ribosomal RNA", at positions 338 to 795 of the family's 1533-position model. The record is from RNAcentral.